This 223-nucleotide long non-coding RNA is filed under the name Lathyrus oleraceus (garden pea). RNAcentral describes it as "Pisum sativum (pea) long non-coding RNA (PSAT_LNC019422)". The record is from RNAcentral. Lineage: Eukaryota; Viridiplantae; Streptophyta; Magnoliopsida; Fabales; Fabaceae.
UCCUCUUCAAAGUGAGGUAGAUUGUGAUUUUUUUUGAAAACAAGAUUAUUUUGAGAAUUUUUUGAAAAAUUGAGUUAUUUGGAUAAAAAUUUUGAUUGAUUUUCCAAAAGGAUAUAAUUUAUUUUUUAUUUUUUUCCAAAUUUUUAUUUUUAUUUUUGAGUUUCUUAAUAUAUAUACUCUAAGUACACAAAUUAUCGUAACUUUUUAUUGUAACCUUCCUAGG